UCUUCUUUCCUCUUCUUAUUUCUUCUUUCUGUUUCUCUUUCUCUAUUCGACCUCUGUUGAUUCUUGGUGAGUUGUGUGAUCAAUUAUAGAAGUAAACUAGAUAUUGAAGCUGUUUUAGAGAUGAUGAAGAUGUUGUGAUUCUGAUUUGUAAAGAAGAACAAAUGAAGAUUGUUACAGAUUCGGGAUAAGUUUGAGAAGAUCGAAAUUAGGGUUUGGAAAGAAAUUGAGAGGUGAACUGGGUCGUUAAUGGAUGAAGAGAAGAGGGGUUGUUGUUGAUUUGAUGAGAUGAGGCUAUUCUGAUGAUGAAUCGAAAUCAGUUACUCUGCAUUAACAACGAUCAAUCUAAAAGACGAACCAGUGGAUUAUGGAUCUCAAGGUACGCGAGGCUUGUCAUCAAAAGAGUUUCAGAGUCAGAUCAAGUUGUGCACGUGGCGAUGAAAGCUUUGAGGAGUUAGUUUCGUUAGUUGGUUAGCUUCCGCUAUGUUUAUUUUGUGUUGAUAUUCUAUUUGUAAAUCAACUCACUAUUAAAUAUGUAACACUUGAGAGGAUUUCUUGUAUUUAUUUCAGAGAGGUUUUAGAUUCGGGUUAAUCUUUGUUUAGAACUUCUUUCUUAAUGUUUAAAUAUAUGUUAUAGAUCGU
Papaver somniferum (opium poppy) is the source of this 639-nucleotide long non-coding RNA. RefSeq lists it as uncharacterized. The transcript is spliced from 3 exons. The record is from RefSeq and is a predicted model, not a curated record. Lineage: Eukaryota; Viridiplantae; Streptophyta; Magnoliopsida; Ranunculales; Papaveraceae.